RNAcentral lists this ribosomal RNA (253 nucleotides) under uncultured bacterium. RNAcentral's name for it is "partial 16S ribosomal RNA". It matches the Rfam family "Bacterial small subunit ribosomal RNA", at positions 524 to 776 of the family's 1533-position model. The record is from RNAcentral.
UACGGGGGGGGCAAGCGUUGUUCGGAAUUACUGGGCGUAAAGCGCGCGUAGGCGGUUACUCAAGUCGGAUGUGAAAGCCCUCGGCUUAACUGAGGAAGUGCACCCGAAACUGAGUAGCUAGAGUACUAAAGAGGGUCGCGGAAUUCCCGGUGUAGAGGUGAAAUUCGUAGAUAUCGGGAGGAACACCGGUGGCGAAGGCGGCGACCUGGGUAGAUACUGACGCUGAGGCGCGAAAGCGUGGGGAGCAAACAGG